GGGUGCGAUCAUACCAGCACUAAUGCACCGGAUCCCAUCAGAACUCCGAAGUUAAACGUGCUUGGGCGAGAGUAGUACUAAAAUGGGUGACCUCUUGGGAAGUCCUCGUGUUGCACCCC
Molecule: ribosomal RNA, 119 nt
Filed under: Ricinus communis (castor bean)
Lineage: Eukaryota; Viridiplantae; Streptophyta; Magnoliopsida; Malpighiales; Euphorbiaceae
Source: RNAcentral